CAGUCGCCACGGGAAUACGUAGGUGGCAAGCGUUGUCCGGAAUUAUUGGGCGUAAAGGGCUCGCAGGCGUUUUCUUAAGUCUGAUGUGGAAGCCCCCGGCUCAACCGGGGAGGGUCAUUGGAAACUGGGAAACUUGAGUGCAGAAGAGGAGAGUGGAAUUCCACGUGUAGCGGUGAAAUGCGUAGAGAUGUGGAGGAACACCGGUGGCGAAAGCGGCUCUCUGGCUUGUAACUGACGCUGAGGCUCGAAAGCGUGGGGAGCAAUCAGGAUUAGAUACCCCUGUAGUCCCUGUCUCUUAUAC
Molecule: ribosomal RNA, 301 nt
Filed under: uncultured bacterium
Lineage: Bacteria
Description: partial 16S ribosomal RNA
Rfam family: Bacterial small subunit ribosomal RNA
Source: RNAcentral